RNAcentral lists this ribosomal RNA (468 nucleotides) under uncultured bacterium. Its description in RNAcentral is "partial 16S ribosomal RNA". It matches the Rfam family "Bacterial small subunit ribosomal RNA", at positions 28 to 507 of the family's 1533-position model. The record is from RNAcentral.
GACGAACGCCGGCGGCGUGCUUAACACAUGCAAGUCGAACGGAAAGGCCCUGCUUUUGUGGGGUGCUCGAGUGGCGAACGGGUGAGUAACACGUGAGUAACCUGCCCUUGACUUUGGGAUAACUUCAGGAAACUGGGGCUAAUACCGGAUAGGAGCUCCUGCUGCAUGGUGGGGGUUGGAAAGUUUCGGCGGUUGGGGCUGGACUCGCGGCUUAUCAGCUUGUUGGUGGGGUAGUGGCUUACCCAGGCUUUGACGGGUAGCCGGCCUGUGAGGGUGACCGGCCACAUUGGGACUGAGAUACGGCCCAGACUCCAACGGGAGGCAGAAGUGGGGAAUAUUGCACAAUGAGCGGAAGCCUGAUGCAGCAACGCCGCGUGCGGGAUGACGGCCUUCGGGUUGUGAACCGCUUUCGCCUGUGACGAAGCGUGAGUGACGGUAAUGGGUAAAGAAGCACCGGCUAACUACGUG